RNAcentral lists this ribosomal RNA (253 nucleotides) under uncultured bacterium. RNAcentral describes it as "partial 16S ribosomal RNA". It matches the Rfam family "Bacterial small subunit ribosomal RNA", at positions 524 to 776 of the family's 1533-position model. The record is from RNAcentral.
UACGUAGGGACCGAGCGUUGUCCGGAAUCAUUGGGCGUAAAGAGCGUGUAGGCGGCCUUUUAAGUCCUGCGUGAAAUCCUGCGGCUCAACCGCAGACGGUCGUGGGAAACUGGAAGGCUAGAGUGCGGGAGAGGAGAGUGGAAUUCCCGGUGUAGCGGUGAAAUGCAUAGAUACCAUAAAGAACACCGAUUGCGAAGGCAGCUUACUAGGCUGUAACUGACGCUGAGGCACGAAAGUGUGGGGAUCAAACAGG